RNAcentral lists this ribosomal RNA (446 nucleotides) under uncultured bacterium. Its description in RNAcentral is "bacterial SSU rRNA". It matches the Rfam family "Bacterial small subunit ribosomal RNA", at positions 355 to 793 of the family's 1533-position model. The record is from RNAcentral.
UGGGGAAUUUUGGACAAUGGGGGCAACCCUGAUCCAGCCAUGCCGCGUGAGUGAAGAAGGCCUUCGGGUUGUAAAGCUCUUUCGGCCGGGAAGAAAUCGCUUCGGCUAAUACCUGGAGUGGAUGACGGUACCGGAAGAAGAAGCACCGGCUAACUACGUGCCAGCAGCCGCGGUAAUACGUAGGGUGCGAGCGUUAAUCGGAAUUACUGGGCGUAAAGCGUGCGCAGGCGGUUUCGUAAGACAGAUGUGAAAUCCCCGGGCUUAACCUGGGAACUGCGUUUGUGACUGCGAGACUUGAGUGCGGCAGAGGGGGGUGGAAUUCCACGUGUAGCAGUGAAAUGCGUAGAGAUGUGGAGGAACACCGAUGGCGAAGGCAGCCCCCUGGGUCGACACUGACGCUCAUGCACGAAAGCGUGGGGAGCAAACAGGAUUAGAAACCCUAGUAG